UAAUACAUAGGGUGCAAGCGUUGUCCGGAUUUAUUGGGCGUAAAGAGUUCGUAGGCGGUUUUUCGCGUCGGAUGUGAAAACUCAGGGCUCAACCCUGAGCCUGCAUUCGAUACGGGAAGACUCGAGGACGGCAGGGGAGACUGGAACUUCUGGUGUAGCGGUGGAAUGCGCAGAUAUCAGAAAGAACACCAAUGGCGAAGGCAGGUCUCUGGGCCGAUCCUGACGCUGAGGAACGAAAGCGUGGGGAGCAAACAGGAUUGGAUACCCUGGUAGUCCACGCCGUAAACUAUGGACGCUAGGUGUGGGGGACAUUCCACGUUCUCUGCGCCGCAGCUAACGCAUUAAGCGUCCCGCCUGGGGAGUACGACCGCAAGGUUAAAACUCAAAGGAAUUGACGGGGCCCGCACAAGCAGCGGAGCAUGCGGCUUAAUUCGAUGCAACGCGAAGAACCUUACCUAGGCUUGACAUGCAUUGAAAACUGUUAGAGAUAACAGGUCCGCAAGGGC
This 506-nucleotide ribosomal RNA is filed under the name uncultured Aestuariimicrobium sp. Its description in RNAcentral is "bacterial SSU rRNA". It matches the Rfam family "Bacterial small subunit ribosomal RNA", at positions 521 to 1024 of the family's 1533-position model. Lineage: Bacteria; Bacillati; Actinomycetota; Actinomycetes; Propionibacteriales; Propionibacteriaceae. The record is from RNAcentral.